RNAcentral lists this ribosomal RNA (430 nucleotides) under uncultured marine eukaryote. RNAcentral's name for it is "SSU rRNA". It matches the Rfam family "Eukaryotic small subunit ribosomal RNA", at positions 1 to 437 of the family's 1831-position model. The record is from RNAcentral.
AACCUGGUUGAUCCUGCCAGUAGUCAUAUGCUUGUCUCAAAGACUAAGCCAUGCAUGUCUAAGUAUAAAUGGUAUACAGUAAAACUGCGAAUGGCUCAUUAAAACAGUUAUAGUUUAUUUAGGUAAUCGAAUUUACAUGGAUAACCGUGGUAAUUCUAGAGCUAAUACAUGCUGUAAAGCCCGACUUCUCGGAAGGGUCGUGUUUAUUAGAUAACAGACCAACAGCUUCGGCUAUUGUGGUGAAUCAUAGUAACUAAUCGGAUCGCAUGGGCUAGUCCCGCGACAAACCAUUCAAGUUUCUGCCCCAUCAGCUUUCGACGGUAGUGUAUUGGACUACCGUGGCUUUUACGGGUAACGGAGGAUUAGGGUUCGAUUCCGGAGAGGGAGCCUGAGAAACGGCUACCACAUCUAAGGAAGGCAGCAGGCGCGU